GCCAGUGUUACCCAAUUAGUCCUAGAAUUCACGAAAGAAGAUCUGAAUCGAUCCUGGACGAGCCCCCAGAAAAUGUCAUGUUGCCUAUCCACGGGCUGCUGGUUAGGGUGUAUCGCGUCGAGCUGGUGAUAGACCACUCAGGGACCUGGCUGUUAGGGAUGUCAGCUUUUAUUUCUACCCGAGCUGACACUGACCACCCCAAGCAGAGGAGUUAUAGCCUGGGAGCAGGCUACCACAAAGAACAUCAAACGAAUAAGAAUCAACACGAGAUCACCCACACACAUCCAAUCACACCUCAUGUCCCUACCGCUUUCACGAGACUCACACAGAAGCUUUGGGGGAAGGGGGGGGGGGGUCAUCCACAUCCCCUACACAACUCUGCUUUACAGAGUGCCCCGUGUUUCUUCUCCAGAGUUUCCACCCCUCCCCUGCUAACCCCUCUUCAGACAGUGGGAGAUGUCCGUGGGCAACCAGGCAGCCACCCCGGUAACCAGAUGGCCACAGACUUCACUCUUGGCCAGUGUUGUAUAUAUAGGCCUUUUUCCAAAAAUUAAUAUUAAGAAUAAUUCUGCCAAUAUUUUUUGUUAAAUAAUCAAUCGGGGUGUAGUAUGAGGCACAAAACAAAUGUAACAACCACCCUCACCCCUCACAGCAGCUGUCUUUCACAAGGAACCAGGCAAGGAAGUUGCCAUGAAAGGUUUUACAACAAAAAAACCCCGGUGCAAAAAGGGGAGGGGGGGUUGCUAAUGAGAUUCUGGGGAAAUCUCUACACAGCUUCAAAGACUGCCUCAAAAGCACGUACAAACAGGCGCCAUGAGGGCUGAACAGACAGCUGUUUUUUUAAUUGUUUUUUGUUGUUUCUCUUAAUAUAACGGUACAAGUUCGGAACUUGGCUUAUACGAAUAAGUCGACAUCAUAGACUGCCAACACACUCACCCAGAUUAAAAACAGUCUACAUUAGUGGCUUUUUAUUACUUACCUUAUUUUAGCCUUAUUCACCCUAUAUAUUGUUUGUUAUUGUAUCGUUUUAUCUACGUGACUUUACCGAAAUAACCAAAGAGUAUGGAUUCCUGCAGUCACGAAAGCUUCAAAUAUCGAUAGACCAAAUAAUACUUGGGAAGUAUUAGACCAAGGGUCAUCCAGAAGAGAUACAAGGCGAAAUAGGUCAAUCACACAUGACCAAGAUAAAAUAUAUCCCAUAGAAUCAGUCUCCAACCACCUUUGUCUCCCAGCAGCACAUAGUAGCAAAAAUCACAUACACAUGAGGAGGACACCUCCCCUUUGAGAUAUCAAACACCAUGAAGGAAUUCCAAACCACGAUGCAAGUACUGUAAACACUGCUCCAAACAUACCUUGAGUCACUUAGAGUGAAAACUGCAAAAAGUGGUACGGUAUCAAGCUAUAAGGAGGUAAAAUGAUAUUUUUAACUUCCAACCGGUACGAGAGAAUACGACUUCAAAGGCCACAGCACCCCUAUUUGAGAGAGGCAACAAUGUAACACCAAAACCAUGAAGAGGGAGAACGCAACCGGAUAGGGGGACCCCCCCCCCCUUCUUCCAAAUUAAUUAUUACAGAGGGUUGGAGGACUGGAAGGUCACACUUGGUGGCAAUUUGGAGCUUCUGUCCAGUGGUGGCAGGGUGGCUUGGCGAGAGGGACAGAAACCAAGCCUUGAUGAGACAUUACUUUAAUAAAAUUAGCACACACACACCGGACAAACAGCUGUUCCCACAGGCUGAGAGCGAAAUCAAAGGAAUUCCAGUCCGUUGUGAGAAGGCGAGCCGAGGUGGGCGAAUUUCACAUAUAAGCAAGGACACAGAUCAUGCAACUCGGGGCUGUGAGCGGCAGGCUCCGGGAUCUGCCCCCGAGACAGGCACAUCGAUAGGGAGCGGCAUCAGCAGAAGCCACGAGUCGCGGAGUUCGUCUUUUGUUUUUCGUUUUUUUUUAUUGUUUCUUUCACCAUUGAGAGCAUAACCAGCGCAACCGAGCAAGAGCCGUCGGCACCGUUUACCAGCGGACGCGCUGUGAGCGCGAUCUAGCGCCUUCAAAGACAAGCGUCGUGCCGACUCAGCUCAUCCAGCAGUGGACAAGUAGGUGCAGCUGCCACCUCGAGAGAGGGAGAGAGGGAGAGCCGUGUGUAUGACACUCCCACACUCACGGCUCAUCGCUCAAUAGAGAACCAAGGCAUUUUUGGUACCAGAAACGCCCCACCUCAGCGUCUGCUUAAAGCAAAGAGUUGAACAAGGAGUCGAUACACCAACACCAAGGGCGCCGUAAAGGGGUGGAAGGUUAGGACGAUUCUAUGGGCCCAGGCUGAUUUAGGGCCCAGAAGAGCAGACCCCCUUUUUCUUUUCUUAUUUCUUUUCUCUUUUUUAUACAUACAUUAAAUGUGCUAGGGCCCCUCAUGCACUGAAUGGUUCAUUCCACCUGCGCUGUCCGAGCUACGAUCGCUAGUGUAGCGUCUCUUGCUUAUUGCACUUGCUAUGAUGCAGUGCAGACAGUGACACACGCAGGCAUGUCACAUCAAAAGUCAGGGCAUCAAAAACGGAAAGAAAAGAAGGAAAGAGAAGACAGAACGCCGAAGUCGACAGUAUGUCACGCAGUUUUUCAAAAAGAAAGGUAGAUUGCCCUAUUCCUGUAUUCCAAAACUUUCAGAGUUACUUAUUUUUGUUGCUACAUGACCUGCUUUUAUCUAGCUAGCUUAGUAAAAUAAUUACUGAAUUAUGAUUUACAUCCAACAAUAAUAACAUCUCUGCUGUCUCCGGGGUUAUCAUGUCUCGUAGACACAGAUUCAGCGGCUGCUGCACACCCACGUCCUCCUUCCCCCACGUCCCCCGUCCCCGUCUCAGUCAAACAAGAUGCAGUCAGCUUUAUUGUCUGCACCUCGUUCUACUAAUGACCCAGUUCUCUCAGUGUCAG
Molecule: non-coding RNA, 2917 nt
Organism: Petromyzon marinus (sea lamprey)
Lineage: Eukaryota; Metazoa; Chordata; Hyperoartia; Petromyzontiformes; Petromyzontidae
Source: RefSeq, a predicted model, not a curated record